GGUCGCAUGGCUCAGAUGCCAAAGCACCUGCAUAGUAAGAAGGAGAUCAUGAGUUCGACUCUCGUUGGGACCU
RNAcentral lists this transfer RNA (73 nucleotides) under Daphnia magna. It matches the Rfam family "tRNA". From Rfam's summary of the family: Transfer RNA (tRNA) molecules are approximately 80 nucleotides in length. Their secondary structure includes four short double-helical elements and three loops (D, anti-codon, and T loops). Lineage: Eukaryota; Metazoa; Arthropoda; Branchiopoda; Diplostraca; Daphniidae. The record is from Rfam by way of RNAcentral.